GAUUAAGUUAUUAAGGGCGCACGGUGGAUGCCUUGGCACUAGAAGCCGAUGAAGGACGUUACUAACGACGAUAUGCGUUUGGGGAGCUGUAAGUAAGUCUUUGAUCCAGAGUAUUUCCGAAGUGGGGAAACCCAGCAUGAGUUAUGUCAUGUUAUCGAUAUGUGAAUACAUAGCAUAUCAGAAGGCACACCCGGAGAACUGAAACAUCUUAGUACCCGGAGGAAGAGAAAGAAAAUUCGAUUCCCUUAGUAGCGGCGAGCGAAACGGGAAGAGCCCAAACCAACAAGCUUGCUUGUUGGGGUUGUAGGACACUCUAUACGGAGUUACAAAGGACGACAUUAGACGAAUCAUCUGGAAAGAUGAAUCAAAGAAGGUAAUAAUCCUGUAGUCGAAAAUGUUGUCUCUCUUGAGUGGAUCCUGAGUACGACGGAGCACGUGAAAUUCCGUCGGAAUCUGGGAGGACCAUCUCCUAAGGCUAAAUACUCUCUAGUGACCGAUAGUGAACCAGUACCGUGAGGGAAAGGUGAAAAGCACCCCGGAAGGGGAGUGAAAUAGAACCUGAAACCGUGUGCUUACAAGUAGUCAGAGCCCGUUAAUGGGUGAUGGCGUGCCUUUUGUAGAAUGAACCGGCGAGUUACGAUUUGAUGCAAGGUUAAGCAGUAAAUGUGGAGCCGUAGCGAAAGCGAGUCUGAAUAGGGCGUUUAGUAUUUGGUCGUAGACCCGAAACCAGGUGAUCUACCCUUGGUCAGGUUGAAGUUCAGGUAACACUGAAUGGAGGACCGAACCGACUUACGUUGAAAAGUGAGCGGAUGAACUGAGGGUAGCGGAGAAAUUCCAAUCGAACCUGGAGAUAGCUGGUUCUCUCCGAAAUAGCUUUAGGGCUAGCCUCAAGUGAUGAUUAUUGGAGGUAGAGCACUGUUUGGACGAGGGGCCCCUCUCGGGUUACCGAAUUCAGACAAACUCCGAAUGCCAAUUAAUUUAACUUGGGAGUCAGAACAUGGGUGAUAAGGUCCGUGUUCGAAAGGGAAACAGCCCAGACCACCAGCUAAGGUCCCAAAAUAUAUGUUAAGUGGAAAAGGAUGUGGCGUUGCCCAGACAACUAGGAUGUUGGCUUAGAAGCAGCCAUCAUUUAAAGAGUGCGUAAUAGCUCACUAGUCGAGUGACACUGCGCCGAAAAUGUACCGGGGCUAAACAUAUUACCGAAGCUGUGGAUUGUCCUUUGGACAAUGGUAGGAGAGCGUUCUAAGGGCGUUGAAGCAUGAUCGUAAGGACAUGUGGAGCGCUUAGAAGUGAGAAUGCCGGUGUGAGUAGCGAAAGACGGGUGAGAAUCCCGUCCACCGAUUGACUAAGGUUUCCAGAGGAAGGCUCGUCCGCUCUGGGUUAGUCGGGUCCUAAGCUGAGGCCGACAGGCGUAGGCGAUGGAUAACAGGUUGAUAUUCCUGUACCACCUAUAAUCGUUUUAAUCGAUGGGGGGACGCAGUAGGAUAGGCGAAGCGUGCGAUUGGAUUGCACGUCUAAGCAGUAAGGCUGAGUAUUAGGCAAAUCCGGUACUCGUUAAGGCUGAGCUGUGAUGGGGAGAAGACAUUGUGUCUUCGAGUCGUUGAUUUCACACUGCCGAGAAAAGCCUCUAGAUAGAAAAUAGGUGCCCGUACCGCAAACCGACACAGGUAGUCAAGAUGAGAAUUCUAAGGUGAGCGAGCGAACUCUCGUUAAGGAACUCGGCAAAAUGACCCCGUAACUUCGGGAGAAGGGGUGCUCUUUAGGGUUAACGCCCAGAAGAGCCGCAGUGAAUAGGCCCAAGCGACUGUUUAUACAAAACACAGGUCUCUGCUAAACCGUAAGGUGAUGUAUAGGGGCUGACGCCUGCCCGGUGCUGGAAGGUUAAGAGGAGUGGUUAGCUUCUGCGAAGCUACGAAUCGAAGCCCCAGUAAACGGCGGCCGUAACUAUAACGGUCCUAAGGUAGCGAAAUUCCUUGUCGGGUAAGUUCCGACCCGCACGAAAGGCGUAACGAUUUGGGCACUGUCUCAACGAGAGACUCGGUGAAAUCAUAGUACCUGUGAAGAUGCAGGUUACCCGCGACAGGACGGAAAGACCCCGUGGAGCUUUACUGUAGCCUGAUAUUGAAAUUCGGCACAGCUUGUACAGGAUAGGUAGGAGCCUUUGAAACGUGAGCGCUAGCUUACGUGGAGGCGCUGGUGGGAUACUACCCUAGCUGUGUUGGCUUUCUAACCCGCACCACUUAUCGUGGUGGGAGACAGUGUCAGGCGGGCAGUUUGACUGGGGCGGUCGCCUCCUAAAAGGUAACGGAGGCGCUCAAAGGUUCCCUCAGAAUGGUUGGAAAUCAUUCAUAGAGUGUAAAGGCAUAAGGGAGCUUGACUGCGAGACCUACAAGUCGAGCAGGGUCGAAAGACGGACUUAGUGAUCCGGUGGUUCCGCAUGGAAGGGCCAUCGCUCAACGGAUAAAAGCUACCCCGGGGAUAACAGGCUUAUCUCCCCCAAGAGUUCACAUCGACGGGGAGGUUUGGCACCUCGAUGUCGGCUCAUCGCAUCCUGGGGCUGUAGUCAGUCCCAAGGGUUGGGCUGUUCGCCCAUUAAAGCGGUACGCGAGCUGGGUUCAGAACGUCGUGAGACAGUUCGGUCCCUAUCCGUCGUGGGCGUAGGAAAUUUGAGAGGAGCUGUCCUUAGUACGAGAGGACCGGGAUGGACAUACCUCUGGUGUACCAGUUGUCGUGCCAACGGCAUAGCUGGGUAGCUAUGUGUGGACGGGAUAAGUGCUGAAAGCAUCUAAGCAUGAAGCCCCCCUCAAGAUGAGAUUUCCCAACUUCGGUUAUAAGAUCCCUCAAAGAUGAUGAGGUUAAUAGGUUCGAGGUGGAAGCAUGGUGACAUGUGGAGCUGACGAAUACUAAUCGAUCGAAGACUUAAUCAA
RNAcentral lists this ribosomal RNA (2927 nucleotides) under Staphylococcus aureus. RNAcentral describes it as "23S ribosomal RNA". It matches the Rfam family "Bacterial large subunit ribosomal RNA". The record is from RNAcentral. Lineage: Bacteria; Bacillati; Bacillota; Bacilli; Caryophanales; Staphylococcaceae.